UACAGAGGGUGCGAGCGUUGUCCGGAAUCACUGGGCGUAAAGGGCGCGUAGGUGGCGACCCAAGUCGAUGGUGAAAGCUCGCCGCUCAACGGCGAGUCGGCCACUGAUACUGGGUUGCUGGAGCACUGUAGAGGCAGAUGGAAUUCCGGGUGUAGCGGUGGAAUGCGUAGAGAUCCGGAAGAACAUCGGUGGCGAAGGCGCUCUGCUGGACCAUAACUGACACUCAGGGACGAAAGCUAGGGGAGCGAAUGGG
This 253-nucleotide ribosomal RNA is filed under the name uncultured bacterium. RNAcentral's name for it is "partial 16S ribosomal RNA". It matches the Rfam family "Bacterial small subunit ribosomal RNA", at positions 524 to 776 of the family's 1533-position model. The record is from RNAcentral.